Molecule: long non-coding RNA, 868 nt
Filed under: Pan troglodytes (chimpanzee)
Lineage: Eukaryota; Metazoa; Chordata; Mammalia; Primates; Hominidae
Description: long non-coding RNA NONPTRT003400
Source: RNAcentral
GAUCUCUAGCAUUUCCUUUUUUAUUCUUUUUUUAGAAUUUCCAUCUUUCUGCUUACAUUAUAAUCUGUUCUUGUAUACUCUCUACUUUUUUCAUUAGAGACCUCUACAUACUUAUCAUAGUUUUUAAGAAUUUUUCAUUUGAUAAUUCCAACAUUCCUCCCAUUUCUGACUCUGGCUCUGAUGCUUGUUCAGUCACUCAGACUGUGUUUUUUUGUCUUUUAGUGUGCAUUGCCAUUUUUGUUGAAAGGUGGACAUGCUGUACUGGGUGCAAAGAACUGAGGUGUUAUCACCUGAAAAUACUAAAAUAAAAAUAAAAUCACUUAUCAUAUUUGUAUCAUAGAUGAAUGAUUAUUGUAUAUUUUAAGUGCAACAAAUGCAUUGUCACCAAAAGGAAAAUUUUAGUCUGUUCCAUCAUUUUCUAUUUUUUGAUAAAGUGUUCACUGUAACUGGUAUCUCUUGUAGUACUAAUAAGAAGCAGUAAUAAGUAGUAAGUAGUAAUAAGUAGUAAUACAAAUGAAUGAGACAGUACCCAUUUGGUGCCAAGCUUUUGGGAGAGAGAAGCAAAGUUUGGGAAGAAGCAAAAAGAAGAAAAACAAAAACAAAAACAAAUCAGACCUGGAUGUGAGUUCAGACUUCAAAGUGUUUACCAACUGGCCAGAGUUGCAUGUACAUAAGUCACUGUAAUUUAAACCAGAAAAAUAUAAUUACUAUCAAGUAUGUGCUGAGUGAGUUCAAGGAAAAAGAGAUUUCCCAUGUUGUGGGGAUUAGAAAAGUUGCUGAAAUACAAGCCCAAAUGCAUGUGCCAGGAGAGGUUUUACUGUAUUAGUCAGAUGCCAGCUGGAAAUAAUUCACUGCAGAUGGUUCUUGU